CCCUUCGAUGUUCUGGGCUGCACGCGCGCUACAAUGAUAAAGUCAACGAGUAUUUUAGCUUGUGAGAGACCACUGGCAAAUCUUAGAAACUUUAUCGUAUUAUGGAUUGCUGAUUGCAAUUAUUCGGCAUGAAACAGGAAUGCCUAGUAUCGGUGAGUCAUCAGCUUGCCGAGAUUACGUCCCUGCCCUUUGUACACACCGCCCGUCGCUCCUACCGAUUGAAACAUACGGUGAAAUUCUCGGAGAGAAGAGUUAGCGUGUUAAGUUCGCUUAGCACGCGCUAGUCUCAAAGUUAAUUAAAUCUCAUGUUUUAGAGGAAGGAGAAGUCGUAACA
RNAcentral lists this ribosomal RNA (334 nucleotides) under uncultured eukaryote. RNAcentral describes it as "partial 18S ribosomal RNA". It matches the Rfam family "Eukaryotic small subunit ribosomal RNA", at positions 1470 to 1796 of the family's 1831-position model. The record is from RNAcentral.